This 67-nucleotide transfer RNA is filed under the name Marmota monax (woodchuck). RNAcentral's name for it is "tRNA.Ala". Lineage: Eukaryota; Metazoa; Chordata; Mammalia; Rodentia; Sciuridae. The record is from RNAcentral.
GGUUGUGGCUCAGCGGUGGAGUGCUCGCCUAGCACGUGCGAGGCCCUGGGUUCGAUCCUCAGCACCA